AAAGGGGUAGUUUAAUUAGGAAAACAUCACUUUUACAGAGUGGAGAACGCUAGUUUUAAUUGUGCGUCCCUUUA
This 74-nucleotide transfer RNA is filed under the name Herdmania momus (red throated ascidian). RNAcentral's name for it is "transfer RNA-Val (UAC)". The record is from RNAcentral. Lineage: Eukaryota; Metazoa; Chordata; Ascidiacea; Stolidobranchia; Pyuridae.